Molecule: long non-coding RNA, 262 nt
Filed under: Anser brachyrhynchus (Pink-footed goose)
Lineage: Eukaryota; Metazoa; Chordata; Aves; Anseriformes; Anatidae
Description: lncRNA (ENSABRG00000017977.1)
Source: RNAcentral
ACCAGAAGUAACUUUCAUGGCGCCAGAGGACCAUUUUCGCUACACAGUUGAUGAGCUCCUCAAAAUGGCCACAGAUACACUCUUCUGUCUCCAAGCCUAAAGUGACCACAGAAUGUAGAGGACUGGGUGUCUGUGGUUCAAGCAGAAGCUCAGCUUCAUCAUCUCCUCUGCCAAAUCUUCCUGCCUUUUGUCAUGCCAAACUGAUGAUGACUCUGUAAGAGAAUUGUGUGAGUAAAGGGUAGAGUUAAGCAAUAUGGCUCUA